CCCCUAGGUGUUCUGGGCCGCACGCGCGCUACACUGAACAGUUCAACAAGUCUUAACCUUGGCCGAUAGGUCUGGGUAAUCUUUGAACGCUGUUCGUGAUUGGGAUAGACCUUUGCAAUUAUGGGUCUUCAACGAGGAAUUCCUAGUAAACGCAAGUCAUCAGCUUGCAUUGAUUACGUCCCUGCCCUUUGUACACACCGCCCGUCGCACCUACCGAUUGAAUGGUCCGGUGAAAUCUCGGGACGGCGGCUCGGUCGCUUGCGUCCGACUGCUGAAACUUGAUUAAACCAUAUCAUUUAGAGGAAGGUGAAGUCGUAACA
Molecule: ribosomal RNA, 320 nt
Filed under: uncultured eukaryote
Lineage: Eukaryota
Description: partial 18S ribosomal RNA
Rfam family: Eukaryotic small subunit ribosomal RNA
Source: RNAcentral